RNAcentral lists this ribosomal RNA (253 nucleotides) under uncultured bacterium. RNAcentral describes it as "partial 16S ribosomal RNA". It matches the Rfam family "Bacterial small subunit ribosomal RNA", at positions 524 to 776 of the family's 1533-position model. The record is from RNAcentral.
UACAGAGGGUGCAAGCGUUAAUCGGAGUUACUGGGCGUAAAGGGCGCGUAGGCGGUCAUAUAAGUUGGAUGUGAAAUCCCUGGGCUUAACCUAGGAACUGCAUUCAGUACUGUGUGACUGGAGUAUUGUAGAGGGUAGUGGAAUUUCCGGUGUAGCGGUGAAAUGCGUAGAUAUCGGGAGGAACACCAGUGGCGAAGGCGGCUACCUGGUCUUGCACUGACGCUGAGGCACGAAAGCUGGGGGAGCAAACGGG